Molecule: ribosomal RNA, 755 nt
Filed under: Microbacterium sp. CUL-LAN12K12
Lineage: Bacteria; Bacillati; Actinomycetota; Actinomycetes; Micrococcales; Microbacteriaceae
Description: bacterial SSU rRNA
Rfam family: Bacterial small subunit ribosomal RNA
Source: RNAcentral
UAGAGUUUGAUCCUGGCUCAGGAUGAACGCUGGCGGCGUGCUUAACACAUGCAAGUCGAACGUUGAAGCCAAGCUUGCUUGGUGGAUCAGUGGCGAACGUGUGAGUAACACGUGAGCAACCUGCCCUGGACUCUGGGAUAAGCGCUGGAAACGGCGUCUAAUACUGGAUAUGAGCUCUUACCCCAUGGUGGGUGUUGGAAAGAUUUUUCGGUCUGGGAUGGGCUCGCGGCCUAUCACUCUUGUUGGUGAGGUAAUGGCUCACCAUGGCGUCGACGGGUAGCCGGCCUGAGAGGGUGACCGCCCACCCUGGUACUGAGACACGGCCCAGACUCCUACGGGAGGCAGCAGUGGGGAAUAUUGCACAAUCGGCGGAAGCCUGAUGCAGCAAUGCCGCGUGAGGGAUGCCGGCCUUCGGGUUGUAAACCUCUUUUAGCAGGGAAGAAGCGUGAGUGACGGUACCUGCAGAAAAAGCGCCGGCUAACUACGUGCCAGCAGCCGCGGUAAUACGUAGGGCGCAAGCGUUAUCCGGAAUUAUUGGGCGUAAAGAGCUCGUAGGCGGUUUGUCGCGUCUGCUGUGAAAUCCCGAGGCUCAACCUCGGGCCUGCAGUGGGUACGGGCAGACUAGAGUGCGGUAGGGGAGAUUGGAAUUCCUGGUGUAGCGGUGGAAUGCGCAGAUAUACAGGAGGAACCACCGAUGGCGAAGGCAGAUCUCCUGGGCCGUAACUGACCGCUGAGGAGCGAAAGGGUGGGAGCAA